GACGAAACUCUGAUGGAGCAACGCCGCGUGAGUGAAGAAGGGUUUCGGCUCGUAAAGCUCUGUUGGUAGUGAAGAAAGAUAGAGGUAGAAACUGGCCUUUAUUUGACGGUAAUAACUUAAAAAGUCACGGCUAACUACGUGCCACCAGCCGCGGUAAUACGUAGGUGGCAAGCGUUGUCCGGAUUUAUUGGGCGUA
Molecule: ribosomal RNA, 196 nt
Filed under: uncultured bacterium
Lineage: Bacteria
Description: partial 16S ribosomal RNA
Rfam family: Bacterial small subunit ribosomal RNA
Source: RNAcentral